Centruroides sculpturatus (bark scorpion) is the source of this 261-nucleotide long non-coding RNA. RefSeq lists it as uncharacterized. NCBI's taxonomy places the organism in Eukaryota, Metazoa, Arthropoda, Arachnida, Scorpiones, Buthidae. The transcript has 2 exons. The record is from RefSeq and is a predicted model, not a curated record.
UUUAGUUUUUUAAAAUCUGCAGAGUUUAUCUUGUUUAUGUGAUAAAAUGUAGAAAAGGUUUUGUUUUUAACCUGUAUAGUUAAAAUUGUGAUAAAAAAUUGAUAUUGAAAAUGUUAAAAAAACCUAAGUGUAGUCUGAUUUCUACUGUAUGUGCAGUGUCCAUGCUGAAAUGAGUUAGCUGAAGAGGGGCUGAUGCCCGAAACGUUGAUGUAUGGAAAAAACGUUCUAACUAAAUAAAAGAUUCAACUAGCCCAGUGUUGA